Molecule: long non-coding RNA, 790 nt
Filed under: Equus caballus (horse)
Lineage: Eukaryota; Metazoa; Chordata; Mammalia; Perissodactyla; Equidae
Description: lncRNA (ENSECAG00000044007.1)
Source: RNAcentral
GUCUACUUGACUGGCCACCAAGAUGCAUGCCAGUACAUGCAUCCUCCGAUGGCAGAGACCAGAUAGGUCGCAAAACCAAGCUCUCAAGACAUAGAACAAGAUAAAAGGCCUGGACAACAGGCUUAUAGAGAUGCCUGUGUCUUAUGACAAACAACAAAAAGACAGAGACAAGGAAAAGUACUAUCUCUGGGAGGAAAAGGAUCUACAACCAGCUUGUAACUUCUUCAGAAACUCUUAUUUAGACCAUCCUCAAUUCAUAAGGCUGAAGAAAAAAAGGAAGAAAGAGGCAAACAAGUAUAGAAGCACCCUUGCCCCAAAUCUAGCAUCUGAAGCGUCAUCUCCACAAAUAUUAGUAGAAAAAGCUUUGGCCAUCUAAGCAGGUGCGUGAACCUCAAGAUAUUUUGGGAACCCUGAGAAAAGUGUAAUUCAUCCAAGUAUAUAUAUAUUGCAGAAAUGCUUCUUAUUAAAUACCUGGUUGCUUGCAUCAUAGGCUUAACUUUGGGAUCCCAUCUGUAUCACUGUAUCCUGAAAUUGGAGACCACUGUUGAAUUGGACUAACCUAUUCUUUAAGCCAAGAGACUGGCUCAAGGAGAUGGAGCAACCUACCAACUCAACUUCUGGAAUGUAAAACUUGUCAUGAAGUUUCAAAGGCAGGAGUAAAGGGGUUCAAAACUGCCUCCCCAAGAUAUGCCACUUUGGAAUGUGGACUAUUUUGAGCUAAAGGCAAUCGAGACCCUAAAGUCUCAAGAAAAAUUUUAUACCUUUUUGAAGAAUUUAAAUUGGGAGCUUU